Molecule: ribosomal RNA, 466 nt
Filed under: uncultured bacterium
Lineage: Bacteria
Description: partial 16S ribosomal RNA
Rfam family: Bacterial small subunit ribosomal RNA
Source: RNAcentral
GACGAACGCUGGCGGCGCGCCUAACACAUGCAAGUCGAACGAGCGAGAGAGAGCUUGCUUUCUCAAGCGAGUGGCGAACGGGUGAGUAACGCGUGAGGAACCUGCCUCAAAGAGGGGGACAACAGUUGGAAACGACUGCUAAUACCGCAUAAGCCCACGACCCGGCAUCGGGUAGAGGGAAAAGGAGCAAUCCGCUUUGAGAUGGCCUCGCGUCCGAUUAGCUAGUUGGUGAGGUAACGGCCCACCGAGGCGACGAUCGGUAGCCGGACUGAGAGGUUGAACGGCCACAUUGGGACUGAGACACGGCCCAGACUCCUACGGGAGGCAGCAGUGGGGAAUAUUGCACAAUGGGGGAAACCCUGAUGCAGCGACGCCGCGUGGAGGAAGAAGGUCUUCGGAUUGUAAACUCCUGUUGUUGAGGAAGAUAAUGACGGUACUCAACAAGGAAGUGACGGCUAACUACGUG